CCACGAACACUGUCAUAAUCUUGCACAAUAUAUCAACCCAUCAUUUCUGAUUUCCCCCAUAUAGAUAAUUUCACAAAUAAAUAUGGGGGAAAUCAGAAAUGAUGGGUUGAUAUAUUGUGCAAGAUUAUGACAGUGUUCGUGGAUCGCUGAUUUCCCCCCUUCUUUGUAUGAACCUUUAUCUUCGUCAUUUGUUGUCUAAAAUAAAUGACAUAUUUCAUUCUCA
Ostrea edulis (European flat oyster) is the source of this 223-nucleotide long non-coding RNA. RefSeq lists it as uncharacterized. The transcript has 2 exons. The record is from RefSeq and is a predicted model, not a curated record. Lineage: Eukaryota; Metazoa; Mollusca; Bivalvia; Ostreida; Ostreidae.